UAUAUCCUGGUCUAGUGGUCAGAGCGUCCGCCUGAGAUGCGGGAAGUCGUGUGUUCUAUCCCCGGCAGAGUUAUAU
This is a non-coding RNA of Potamilus streckersoni, 76 nucleotides long. The record is from the annotation of a GenBank genome assembly. NCBI's taxonomy places the organism in Eukaryota, Metazoa, Mollusca, Bivalvia, Unionida, Unionidae.